GCUAGGCAUGAUGGCACAUGCCUGUAAUCACAGUCACUGGUGGGGGCUGAGGCAGGAUGAUUGCAAGUUUGAGGCUAGCCUCAGCAACUUAGUGAGGCCCUAAGCAACUUAUUAAGACCCUGUCUCAA
Molecule: small RNA, 128 nt
Filed under: Marmota monax (woodchuck)
Lineage: Eukaryota; Metazoa; Chordata; Mammalia; Rodentia; Sciuridae
Source: RNAcentral